AAAGGUGAAAUUGGGUUAUUUUUACUUAUGAGUGGACUGAAAUUGAAACUAGAAAUUUUUAGGCUUAAACUAGGAUUAGAUACCCUACUAUACUAAAAAGUGAAAAUAAAGCUAGAUUAUUAGUAGAUAUAUUCUUUAAAUUUAAAGAAUUUGGCGGUGGUUUAGUCUUGUCAGAGGAACCUGUUUUUGAAUCGAUAAUCCACGUGGAAUCUUACUUGAGUCUAUAUACCGUCAUUAGCAGAUAAUUUUUAGAAAAAGUAAUUAUUGGGAUUUAUUGAAUAAUAAAAAUUAGAUCAAGGUGUAGCUUAUGAACAAGUUAAAAUGGGUUACAAUAAAUUAUAUUUAUAACGGAGUAGUUACUAAAAAGGAGGAUUUGAUUGUAUGUAAGUUUAAUAUGCUUAAGAGAUAUAAGCUCUAAACCAUGUACAUAUCGCCCGUCGCUUUC
RNAcentral lists this ribosomal RNA (445 nucleotides) under Eriphia scabricula. RNAcentral's name for it is "partial 12S small subunit ribosomal RNA". The record is from RNAcentral. Lineage: Eukaryota; Metazoa; Arthropoda; Malacostraca; Decapoda; Eriphiidae.